ACCAAUACUCAAAAUUGUCCAUAGACCUUCUCUAUCCAUUCGCUGUGGCAUGUGUGUGCCUGUACACACAUGCAUACACACACCAUACAUACAUGA
Molecule: microRNA precursor, 96 nt
Filed under: Microtus ochrogaster (prairie vole)
Lineage: Eukaryota; Metazoa; Chordata; Mammalia; Rodentia; Cricetidae
Description: miRNA (ENSMOCG00000003556.1)
Source: RNAcentral